RNAcentral lists this ribosomal RNA (449 nucleotides) under uncultured bacterium. Its description in RNAcentral is "partial 16S ribosomal RNA". It matches the Rfam family "Bacterial small subunit ribosomal RNA", at positions 29 to 523 of the family's 1533-position model. The record is from RNAcentral.
AAUGAACGCUGGCGGCAGGCCUAACACAUGCAAGUCGAACGGAUCCUUCGGGAUUAGUGGCGGACGGGUGAGUAACGCGUGGGAACAUACCCAAAGGUACGGAAUAGCCUCGGGAAACUGGGAGUAAUACCGUAUGUGCUCGAAAGAGGAAAGAUUUAUCGCCUUUGGAUUGGCCCGCGUUGGAUUAGGUAGUUGGUGGGGUAAUGGCCUACCAAGCCGACGACCCAUAGCUGGUUUGAGAGGAUGAUCAGCCACACUGGGACUGAGACACGGCCCAGACUCCUACGGGAGGCAGCAGUGGGGAAUCUUAGACAAUGGGGGAAACCCUGAUCAAGCCAUGCCGCGUGAUCGAUGAAGGCCUUAGGGUUGUAAAGAUCUUUCAGGUGGGAAGAUAAUGACUGUACCACCAGAAGAAGCCCCGGCUAACUCCGUGCCAGCCGCCGCUGUAA